AUACGGAGGGUGCAAGCGUUAUUCGGAAUCACUGGGCGUAAAGGACGCGUAGGCGGGUUGGCAAGUCAGAUGUGAAAUCCUACAGCUUAACUGUAGAACUGCAUUUGAAACUGCUAACCUAGAGUAUGGGAGGGGGAGAUGGAAUUAGUGGUGUAGGGGUAAAAUCCGUAGAUAUCACUAGGAAUACCGAAAGCGAAGGCGAUCUCCUGGAACAUAACUGACGCUAAGGCGUGAAAGCGUGGGGAGCAAACAGGAUUAGAUACCCGUGUAGUCC
Molecule: ribosomal RNA, 274 nt
Filed under: uncultured bacterium
Lineage: Bacteria
Description: partial 16S ribosomal RNA
Rfam family: Bacterial small subunit ribosomal RNA
Source: RNAcentral